Molecule: long non-coding RNA, 770 nt
Organism: Lagopus leucura (white-tailed ptarmigan)
Lineage: Eukaryota; Metazoa; Chordata; Aves; Galliformes; Phasianidae
Exons: 2
Source: RefSeq, a predicted model, not a curated record
CGGCGCAGACCUCCGUCCCUCAGCACCUCACGGCGGACGCGGGCUCAAGAGCGGCCUUGCUGUAAUGGGAAGUUCUGCUCUGCUUGUUGGGCCUCGAUUUGUUUGUUUACUCGCCGCGUUGGCUCUUUGUUUAUUUGUUUGUUUGUUUGAGCUUCCCAAUGCCGAAAGCACUGCCUUGCUGCCUUUCAGGAGCUGAUCUGGAGCACUGCAAACGGGCAUUGUAUUUCUACAUUGCUGCUGCUUGUGUGCUAGUGUCCUUGGGCACCAGUGCCAUAAAACCUCCUUUUUCAGUCAGAUACAUUUCAGACAUAUUUGGCCUGCUCUUCCUAGCCAUAGGAAGGCCAUAAAAACUGCUCUAACUUCAGGAGAGGACUUUUAUUCUGAUCAUUAUCGUUGACUAAGCGACUCUGCAGUCAGCAGAACCAGGCAUGAAAAAACAGAUCCUGCACUAACCUCGUGACUCCUGAGGACUUUGUGUCCAAGAAUGGUGCACAGCUGCUGUUUUCCUGUCUCUGCUAGUAACAUUUGCCUUGUGUGCAGUACUCAGGCCAGUACAGUCAUUUUUCUCUGUAUGUCUAAUUUAUCCUUAUAGGAAAUUUGUUGGCAAAAAUAAUAUGUCUACAUCCUUGUAAUAGUUCACCAGUAAUAAACAUUAAGCCUGAAAUUAUGUUCAAGUUAUUUCAGACACUAGGUGUCAAUGCUUGGUUUCUUUGUUAAGUAUUAUGAGAUUUAAAAAAUAAAAAAUUAAAAAAAAAUAGUGUUCUUAAAAA